Molecule: ribosomal RNA, 1094 nt
Filed under: Pararchaea alba
Lineage: Eukaryota; Metazoa; Arthropoda; Arachnida; Araneae; Pararchaeidae
Description: SSU rRNA
Rfam family: Eukaryotic small subunit ribosomal RNA
Source: RNAcentral
GGCGGGCGGUUCGCCUUCCGGCGUAAACUGCCCGUUCUGAACAGCCGGCCGGUUUCCCUUGAUGAUCUUCACCGGUUGUCUCGGGUGACCGGCGAGUUUACUUUGAAAAAAUUAGAGUGCUCAAAGCAGGCGCGACGCCUGGAUAAUGGUGCAUGGAAUAAUGGAAUAGGACCUCGGUUCUGUUCUGUUGGUCUUCGGGACACGAGGUAAUGAUUAAGAGGGACAGACGGGGGCAUUCGUAUUGCGACGCUAGAGGUGAAAUUCUUGGACCGUCGCAAGACGAACUACUGCGAAAGCAUUUGCCAAGAAUGUUUCCAUUAAUCAAGAACGAAAGUUAGAGGUUCGAAGGCGAUCAGAUACCGCCCUAGUUCUAACCAUAAACGAUGCCAGCCAGCGAUCCGGAUGUGUUCCUCAAAUGACACUCCGGGCAGCUUCCGGGAAACCAAAGCUUUUGGGUUCCGGGGGGAGUAUGGUUGCAAAGCUCAAACUUAAAGGAAUUGACGGAAGGGCACCACAAGGAGUGGGGCCUGCGGCUUAAUUUGACUCAACACGGGGAAUCUGACCUGACCCUGACACAGGAAGGAUUGACAGAUUAAGAGCUCUUUCUUGAUUCUGCGGGUGGUGGUGCAUGGCCGUUCUUAGUUGGUGGAGUGAUUUGUCUGGUCUAUUCUGAUAACGAGCGAGACUCUAUCCUGCUAAAUAGACGUUCCGAUCCUUCCAGUCGGACGGUCUUCUUAGAGGGACCAGCGUCGUCUAGGCGCGCGAGACAGAGCAAUAACAGGUCUGGUAUGCCCCUAGAUGUUCAGGGCCGCACGCGCGCCACAUUGAAGGGAUCAGCGUGUGCUUUCCCUGUCCGACAGGACUGGGUAACCCGUUGAACCUCCUUCGUGCUGGGGAUAGGGGCCUGCAAUUGUUCCCCUUGAACGAGGAACUCCUAGUAAGCGUGAGUCAUCAGCUCGCGUUGAUUACGUCCCUGCCCUUUGUGCACACCGCCCGUCGCUACUACCGAUUGAAUGAUUUAGUGAGGUCUUCGGACUGGUGCCCGCGCUGGCCUCCGGGUCGGGGCGGCGUGUCGGAAAGAUGACCGAACUUGA